RNAcentral lists this ribosomal RNA (478 nucleotides) under uncultured bacterium. Its description in RNAcentral is "partial 16S ribosomal RNA". It matches the Rfam family "Bacterial small subunit ribosomal RNA", at positions 28 to 523 of the family's 1533-position model. The record is from RNAcentral.
GACGAACGCUGGCGGCGUGCUUAACACAUGCAAGUCGAACGGUAAGGCCCUUCGGGGUACACGAGUGGCGAACGGGUGAGUAACACGUGGGUGAUCUGCCCUGCACUUCGGGAUAAGCCUGGGAAACUGGGUCUAAUACCGGAUAGGACUCCUGGCUUCAUGGUUGGGGGUGGAAAGCUUUUGCGGUGUGGGAUGGGCCCGCGGCCUAUCAGCUUGUUGGUGGGGUAAUAGCCUACCAAGGCGACGACGGGUAGCCGGCCUGAGAGGGUGACCGGUCACACUGGGACUGAGAUACGGCCCAGACUCCUACGGGAGGCAGCAGUGGGGAAUAUUGCACAAUGGGCGCAAGCCUGAUGCAGCGACGCCGCGUGAGGGAUGACGGCCUUCGGGUUGUAAACCUCUUUCAGCUAUGACGAAGCGCAAGUGACGGUAGUAGCAGAAGAAGGACCGGCCAACUACGUGCCAGCAGCCGCCGCAG